This is an RNA transcript of Fundulus heteroclitus (mummichog), 2405 nucleotides long. It is a transcript of the gene named histamine receptor H2a, with no coding region annotated. NCBI's taxonomy places the organism in Eukaryota, Metazoa, Chordata, Actinopteri, Cyprinodontiformes, Fundulidae. The record is from RefSeq and is a predicted model, not a curated record. The transcript is spliced from 6 exons.
CACACUCUCGGUGAGACACACUGUGGUUCUCUCUGGGAGAGCAGCUGAGUAGCAGGAACAUCAGCACAGCGAGAGACAAGAAGCCCUGAGCGAGCCCUUCGUAUUUGAUCUGUCCCGCUUUCCCUUCAGAGGUGUCACUACAUCUACAGAAAAUGGCAUUGAAGCGAACACUGAGAGCCAGCCGGCAGAACGCAAAAGGUUGCGCCUCUAAGUCACAGUGCUUGUCUAGGAGGGAAAGCUGACUACCUUGCUUUGCUCUUGGAUGAAAAUGUUUGCAAAGACAGCAGUCAUGAAACCAGAGAGUCAGAACCUUUAGGGGUUUUAUCAGGAGAAUAAGCACGUACUUGGAGGGAGAAGCUGAAUGGACAGCAUAUUUUAAAGAUCCUUUUGGAACACGGAGCCCCUGAACAUCAGCGGAACAUUUUUUAAAUUAUACCGUCAGCUUGAGGCUUGUAAAAUGUGUCCGCUUCUUAAGCAGCGAGCAUCUUUCAUCAGAUUAAAGGCAAAGCAUAAAUCGAUGGUUCACCAGCAGCCUCAACAGCACUGACUUUAGGUUGUCUCCCGUCAAGCACCAGUAAUAAUGUUGUCAAAAGUGAUGCUGGGUGUCAUCCUGUCCCUCCUCAUCCUGCUGACUGUGGGUGGUAAUGUGCUGGUGUGUCUAGCUGUCUGCGCCUCACGACGCCUCCGCUGCCUCACUAACUGCUUCAUUGUGUCGCUGGCGGUGACAGACCUCCUGCUCGGCCUCUUGGUCCUCCCGUUCUCCGCCCUCCUCCAGCUCAGCGACGAGUGGCCACUCGGCCCCGUCUUCUGCAACUUCUACAUCUCCAUGGAUGUCAUGCUGUGCACGGCCUCUAUACUGACGCUGCUGGCUAUAAGCGUGGACCGCUACAUGGCGGUGACCAUGCCUCUGAGGUACACCUCCCUGGUGUUGCCAUGGAGAGUUGCUGUGGCCCUGGUGAGCGUCUGGACGGUUUCAGUGGCCGUGUCUUUCUUGCCAAUUCAAAUGGGAUGGAACACGGUUAACGGGACGGUGCAGAAUCACGGGCCGUGGGCGUCCGAGAGGAGAUGUCGCUUCGAACUGAACCGGCCUUAUGUACUCACAGACUCUCUUCUCACCUUCUAUCUGCCUCUGUUGGCUAUGUGCUGGACCUACCUUCAGAUACUCCGCAUAGCUCGGGCGCAGGCCAAGCGUAUCAUCAGCACCCGGCCUAUUUGCAUCACCAGCUACAACUGCAGGAACAGCCCCUCCACCAGUACGACUCUGGCGUCUGGUGUUACAGCCGUGGCACUGCGAGACCACAAAGCCACACUGACAUUGGCAGCUGUGAUCGGGGCUUUUGUUGUCUGCUGGUUGCCUUAUUUCAUAUUAUUCACAGUGCUGGGUCUAAAGGAGCAUCCAGACCCCGGCAUAGUACCAGAAUUUCCUAUUGUUUUGUGGUUGGGGUACGCCAACUCAGCCCUCAACCCUGUCAUCUACGGAGCCCUGAACAGGGACUUCCGGUCAGCCUAUGCCCAUCUACUGAGAUGUCGGCUCCAUGCUCAGAGUGGCUGGAGAAGUCAGCAAUCUUCUCCCACUUUUACCACAGCAAGAAAGCAGCUCACAGAGGUGACGCUGCUGUGUGGUCACACCUCUGCCACCUGCACAGCGGCAGUGACAGCUCAAAACGUCAUGCUCGAAGAAAUGAGCAGCAUAGGAGCCGCUCCAACCACUCACUCCACAAAUGGGACGGCUACCACAGAUGUCAGUGGCAUUCACGGGCUGUAACGAGCCUGUGCUCAGCGUACACCCCUGAUCCAGCGUCAGUCAGCCUGAUGAAAGAGAGCAGCAAACAGAGGCCAACGGAGAUGUUAUAAACCCCCACAUAUUCAGUGCCGCACCAGAACCAACCAUAAUGCCACAUUAUUCAACAUGGCUAAUCCAGAGCAAAGGAGAACCCAGGACCUCAACAACUCAAGACCUCAUCAGUAAGAAUCAAUAAGCCCUCGCAGCAGGAUUGCGAAUGAAAAGAAAUGAAGCUCUGCAGGAAUAAAUGACACCAGCCAAUUAGCCGGUGUCACCACGUUCAUUAACCAGUGGACAUUUCUCAUCCUGACUCCAGAGUGCACUCCAGUGGAAACAUCAAGUAACACAUCUUCAACUUGGAAAGAGACCUUUACCAGGAAAUGUGUGUUCUAUUAAAAUAAGACUUUCAGUAAAUGAGCCCAUGAGUUGAAUGUGUAGCAUGCAAUCCGAUGUUAUGUGUUCAUUUUGAAAAAUAUACAACCCACGGACCUACUCAUACAUUAUUGUUUAUACUGCUGUGCAAAGUAUGUAUAUAUUAAAUUGAAAUAUAAACACUACCAGUGACUGAUAAACAUAUGUGUUGUUCCUACAAAAUAUUAGAUAAUAAAGGAAUACAUGUCAA